Molecule: long non-coding RNA, 529 nt
Organism: Bombus terrestris (buff-tailed bumblebee)
Lineage: Eukaryota; Metazoa; Arthropoda; Insecta; Hymenoptera; Apidae
Exons: 3
Source: RefSeq, a predicted model, not a curated record
UUAUUGAAAAUGUUUUAAAAAUCACUUGUUUGGUUAUCUCGGUUAAUGAAACAUUAUGGAAUGUAUUUAAUUAAACACGCCUGUGUAUUAUUUUUAAAAACAAAUCAUUCUUUUGUACGAAAAUAAGCUAUAAACUCGAGAAUAAUUCAGCCAAUUGAAAAUAUGCUCAGUUAUAUAGAAAAGUUGAAGUAUAAAAUUUGGAGAUGAUUGAAAAGAUUACACCGCUAACUACUAUACUAACGGUUUGGAUCGGCUGGAUAAUGUAUACAACAACGUUCGAUUAUCGAAGACAUCGCUUCUGCACAAUGCCUUUUACGUAUACCUCUUAUAAUUCUGAUGCUCGCAAAAGAGAAGUGGAAGUAUUGGGUAGAGUGUACAAAUUCGGAGACAAUCUAAGCAUGAAAGAAGGAAAGUGAAGCAUAAAAGUUCUUUAUAUCAUUAUAAUAUAUAUAAUAGUAUAUAUGUAUAUAUCAAGAAUUAUAGCUGUUGUAGUUAUAACAACAUUCAAUAAACCACAAUAUGAAAAAUA